AUGCCUCUUGGAGGAUUAAAAAAUGCCAAUAGGCAUGGAAAACAUAGAAGGAUAAGACCUCAGAGGAGCCAGGACCUCAGGUUUCCACAGACCUGGGAUUUGCACGGCAGCAGAGUCACCGUGGAGAGGCCAGGGUAUCACAAACUUAAGGAUUUUUACAAGAAAAGAGAGCAAGAGACGGAGGAGGGCCGGAGAAUGUCCAAGGCCGGCCGGGGCCGGAGCAACCACGGCAUCCGGAGCUCGGGGACCAGCUCGGGGGUCCUGAUGGUGGGCCGUAACUUCCGCGUCGGCAAGAAGAUCGGCUGUGGCAACUUCGGGGAGCUCCGCCCGGGAAAGAAUCUCUAUGCAAAUGAAUAGGUGGCUAUCAAAUUGGAGCCGAUCAAGUCCCGGGCCCCACAGCUGCACCUGGAGUACCGGUUCUACAAGCAGCUCAGUGUCACAGAGGGCGUCCCUCAGGUCUCCUACUUCGGCCCGUGCGGGAAGUUCGACGCCAUGGUGCUGGAGCUGCUGGGGCCCAGCCUGGAGGACGAGUGUGACCUGUGCGACCGCACCUUCACGCUCAAGACGGUGCUGAUGAUCACCAUCCAGCUGAUCACGCGCAUGGAGUACGUGCACACCAAGAGCCUCAUCUACCGGGACGUGAAGCCGGAGAACUUCCGGGUGGGCCGCACGGGGACCAAGCAGCAGCACGCCAUCCACAUCAUCGACUUCGGGCUGGCCAAGGAGUACAUCGACCCGGAGACCAAGAAGCACAUCCCGUACCGCGAGCACAAGAGCCUGACGGGCACAGCGCGCUACGUGAGCAUCAACACGCACCUGGACGACCUGGAGGCGCUGGGCCACCUGUUCAUGUACUUCCUGCGCGGCAGCCUCCCCUGGCAGUGGCUCGAGGCCGACACGCUCAAGGAGCGGUACCGGAAGAUCGGGGACACCAAAUGCGCCACGCCCACUGAGGUGCUUGGCGAGAACUUCUCAGAGGAGAUGGCCACAUACCUGCGCUACGUGCGGCGCCUGGACUUCUUCGAGAAGCCUGACUAUGACUACCUGCGCAAGCUCUUCACCGACCUCUUCGACCGCAGCGGCGUUGUGUUCGACUAUGAGUACUACUGGGCCGGAAAGCCCCUGCCGACCCCCAUCGGCACCAUCCACACCGACCUGCCCUCCCAGGCUCGGCUCUGAGACAAAGCCCAGCCACACAGCAAAAACCAGGCGCUGAACUCCACCAACGGGGAGCUGAACGCUGACGACCCCACGGCGGGCCACUCCAAUGCCCCCCUCACGGCGCCUGCAGAGGUGGAAGUCACCAAUGAAACCAAAUGCUACUGCUUCUCCAAGAGAAGAAAGAGAAAAUCGCUGCAGCGACACAAGUGACCGGGCGCAUGCAGCCCCCUGAAUCUUCUCCGUGCAGCCCCUUGGGGCGGGAGCUUGUGCGAGGCCUUCGAGGCCCACCCACAGCGGCCCAGGGCCAGACCCUGGCUGGAAGCCAGGACGCAGACUGCAGGGGCCGCCCUGGCUCGGCUGGCGGCCCCACCCCGGGACGUGGGUCACUCCCUUCACGUAAGACUUUGGCAAAAUUCCUACACCUGUGUCUAGUCCUCCCCUCCAAGAGCAUUAACUAUUUAAAACAAGGAAAAAAGGAAAAAACAGAGGCCCACCUUGCCCCCACGCCUGCCCCUCCGUUUCUUUGCUGAAGUGAGUAGUGUGAUCUGGGGGCUCCGGCUGAGGCCCGGCCCCGCCAGCCGUCCCCGUUAGCGUCAUGAAGUCCAGCUUGUCUCCCUCGAUCCAAAGGCCGUUUUCUCGAGGGGAGGGCAGGCCCGGCCUGGAGGGGUGCUGUGGGGCCGUCUUGCCCAGGCCCUCCUGGGAGGGGCACAGGCAUUGCUGCCAGGGGUGAGGCCUUGCUGCAGGCCUCCCCGAAGCCAACGGGGAAGGCAGGGGUGGGGCCGCAGCUGAAGCCGGCUCCCCAACCAAAAUGCUGCACCAAAGCUUGGGCGCCACAGACACGACCACUGCAGCCUCUUCCCAGCCUGGCCCCGGCGAGUGCAGGUGGGCCCUGCCAGGCGGGUGCUUCUCGACGCACCUACUCCCAGAGGCUGUGCCCCGACGCCCAGAACCCGAGGCAGGACGGCUGGCUGGUGUCGCCCUGCCUAGCCCCGGGCCGUACUGAAUGGGGCGCGGGCACAGGGCUUCCUGCCUCUGUGCUCCGCCACCCGGCCAGCGGCCAGGACAAAACGCCUUAAAGCCCCGGCCCAGCCCCGCAGGUGUGCGCGCAGGGAGCCUGGGGCGCCCUGAACUGGCAGGCGGUCCCCAGAGGGGUCGCCUGGAGGCUGCAAGGCAGAGUGGGGCAGCUUGGGGCCUUGGCUGGGAGUCUAGGUUUUGCUUUACCAAGUAUACAGAAAUGGCAUUCACGUUUCUCUGACGCUCCCUUGAAGCCAUAGAAUUUAGGCGCUUUUUAAAAAAAA
Molecule: RNA transcript, 2459 nt
Organism: Sapajus apella (tufted capuchin)
Lineage: Eukaryota; Metazoa; Chordata; Mammalia; Primates; Cebidae
Gene name: casein kinase I pseudogene
Exons: 2
Source: RefSeq, a predicted model, not a curated record